RNAcentral lists this transfer RNA (68 nucleotides) under Acidiella diversa. Its description in RNAcentral is "tRNA-Trp". It matches the Rfam family "tRNA". From Rfam's summary of the family: Transfer RNA (tRNA) molecules are approximately 80 nucleotides in length. Their secondary structure includes four short double-helical elements and three loops (D, anti-codon, and T loops). The record is from RNAcentral. Lineage: Eukaryota; Metazoa; Arthropoda; Insecta; Diptera; Tephritidae.
AAGGCUUUAAGUUAAAUAAACUAAUAGUCUUCAAAACUUUAAAUAUAAGUUAAAUCUUUUAAGCCUUA